Homo sapiens (human) is the source of this 1253-nucleotide long non-coding RNA. RefSeq annotates it as long independently transcribed non-coding RNA 2244. The transcript is spliced from 4 exons. Lineage: Eukaryota; Metazoa; Chordata; Mammalia; Primates; Hominidae. The record is from RefSeq and is marked validated.
CUCUCCUCCCUCUGCAGGCUCCGGAUCAGGCUGCCAAUCUGUAAAUGAUGUUUUAGGUUUUUCUUUGUUGUUGUUUUGGUGCUGUGAAGCCUGCCUUGUUAACACCAGGUGCUGAAAGAUUAAAACUUAUCAAUCACCAUCAUCAAGGGGGAGUUGCCGGGCACAAGUUCUCUUCUCUUGUCUGCUGCCAUGUGAGACAUACCUUUCACCUUCCGCCAUGAUUGUGAGGCCUCUCCAGCCACGUGGAACUCAGGUUUCAGUCCUUGAGGAGCGCUCACUAGGAUGGUAAUUGUUUGAUCGAUAGAUUAAGUGAGUUGGAAGACUCUCCAAGUGAAAAUUUAAAAUUACUGCAGUUUUGGCCUGAUGAUGUUAACCAGCAAGAACAGAAUCUGAAACCAGAUGAGCUGUUAGUACUGCUUUCAUCUGUUUUACAGCCACAGCGACAGCAGUUCCCUGGCUUCUGGAAGGAGUGUCGGUCUAUCCAAAAAAUGUACUAACAGAUAUGUAAAGUCUGUCAUCCAUUUGCAGCAAAUUUUGCCUACGGUAUGAAAUAGGAGUUCAAUUUGACAUUGAAUAUUGAUAUCUUAGCAAUAUUAUCUCCCAAUCUGUGAACACGAAAUUUCUUUAUAUUUAUUCAAAUUAUCUUUGGUUUUUAAUGAUGUUAAAUCCAAGUAUUCUUUGUGAUGCUGUUGUAAAUGGAAUUUUUUGUGUUGUUCAUUGCUAAUGUAUAAAAACCAAUGAUGUUUGUAUAUUAAUCUUGUAUCCUGCAACCUCAUUGAACUAGUUUAUUAGCUCUAGUAAUAUGUUGGUGUGAAUCCCUUAAUAUUUUCUACAUACAAGAUCAUGUCAUCUGCAAAUUGUUUUACUUCUUCCUUUCCAAUUUGGAUGCUUUUUAUUUCAUCUUGCCUACUGCUUUGGCUACAACCUCCAGUACAAGAUUGAAUAGAAGUGAUGAGACAGAACAUCCUUGUCUUAUUUGUGAUCUCUGGGGGGGAAGGCUUACAGUAUUUUGCAUCAACAUAUCAGCUACGGGUUUUUCAUAGAUGUCCUUUCUCAGGAUGAAAAAGUCCAUGUUUGGCUUUUUGAAUGUUUUCAUCUAAGAGUUUUGGAUUUUGCCAAAUGUUAAAUGCUUCUUCUGUAUGCAUUGAGAUGAUCUUGUUGUUUUUGUCCUUUAUUCUAAUAAUAUGGUGUACUACAUUGAUUUCUGUAUGUUGAAGUUUGUAUUCCUAAGAUAAAUCUCACUUGCUUAUGGU